GAUGAACGCUGGCGGCGUGCCUAAUACAUGCAAGUCGAGCGAACGGACGAGAAGCUUGCUUCUCUGAUGUUAGCGGCGGACGGGUGAGUAGCACGUGGAUAACCUACCUAUAAGACUGGGAUAACUUCGGGAAACCGGAGCUAAUACCGGAUAAUAUUUUGAACCGCAUGGUUCAAAAGUGAAAGACGGUCUUGCUGUCACUUAUAGAUGGAUCCGCGCUGCAUUAGCUAGUUGGUAAGGUAACGGCUUACCUAGGCAACGAUGCAUAGCCGACCUGAGAGGGUGAUCGGCCACACUGGAACUGAGACACGGUCCAGACUCCUACGGGAGGCAGCAGUAGGGAAUCUUCCGCAAUGGGCGAAAGCCUGACGGAGCAACGCCGCGUGAGUGAUGAAGGUCUUCGGAUCGUAAAACUCUGUUAUUAGGGAGGAACAUAUGUGUAAGUAACUGUGCACAUCUUGACGGUACCUAAUCAGAAAGCCACGGCUAACUACGUG
This 497-nucleotide ribosomal RNA is filed under the name uncultured bacterium. Its description in RNAcentral is "partial 16S ribosomal RNA". It matches the Rfam family "Bacterial small subunit ribosomal RNA", at positions 28 to 507 of the family's 1533-position model. The record is from RNAcentral.